UUUUAGCAAUUUGCCAACAGCAGUCAUACCCCCUGCAGUACAGACUAGAUUACCCAUCGGAAACUAAGCAUGUUUGGGCCUGGUCAGCAUUUGGAUGGAAGACCAACUAAGAAAGCUGGGUUGAUGAGGU
RNAcentral lists this ribosomal RNA (130 nucleotides) under Paramormyrops kingsleyae. Lineage: Eukaryota; Metazoa; Chordata; Actinopteri; Osteoglossiformes; Mormyridae. The record is from RNAcentral.